GAAAUGCGAUAAGUAAUGUGAAUUGCAGAAUUCAGUGAAUCAUCGAAUCUUUGAACGCAAAUUGCGCCCGCCAGUAUUCUGGCGGGCAUGCCUGUUCGAGCGUCAUUACAACCCUCAGGCCCCCGGGCCUGGCGUUGGGGAUCGGCGGAAGCCCCCUGCGGGCACAACGCCGUCCCCCAAAUACAGUGGCGGUCCCGCCGCAGCUUCCAUUGCGUAGUAGCUAACACCUCGCAACUGGAGAGCGGCGCGGCCACGCCGUAAAACACCCAACUUCUGAAUGUUGACCUCGAAUCAGGUAGGAAUACCCGCUGAACUUAAGC
RNAcentral lists this unclassified non-coding RNA (320 nucleotides) under plant metagenome. Its description in RNAcentral is "partial contains 5.8S ribosomal RNA, internal transcribed spacer 2, and large subunit ribosomal RNA". The stretch from base 1 to 105 matches the Rfam family "5.8S ribosomal RNA", at positions 50 to 154 of the family's 154-position model. The record is from RNAcentral.